AGUGAACGCUGGCGGUAGGCCUAACACAUGCAAGUCGAACGGCAGCACAGUAAGAGCUUGCUCUUACGGGUGGCGAGAGGCGGACGGGUGAGGAAUACAUCGGAAUCUACUUUUUCGUGGGGGAUAACGUAGGGAAACUUACGCUAAUACCGCAUACGACCUACGGGUGGAAGCAGGGGAUCUUCGGACCUUGCGCGAUUGAAUGAGCCGAUGUCGGAUUAGCUAGUUGGCGGGGUAAAGGCCCACCAAGGCGACGAUCCGUAGCUGGUCUGAGGAUGAUCAGCCACACUGGAACUGAGACACGGUCCAGACUCCUACGGGAGGCAGCAGUGGGGAAUAUUGGACAAUGGGCGCAAGCCCGAUCCAGCCAUACCGCGUGGGUGAAGAAGGCCUUCGGGUUGUAAAGCCCUUUUGUUGGGAAAGAAAAGCAGCAGGUUAAUACCCCGCUGUUCUGACGGUACCCAAAGAAUAAGCACCGGCUAACUUCGUG
RNAcentral lists this ribosomal RNA (490 nucleotides) under uncultured bacterium. RNAcentral describes it as "partial 16S ribosomal RNA". It matches the Rfam family "Bacterial small subunit ribosomal RNA", at positions 29 to 507 of the family's 1533-position model. The record is from RNAcentral.